UACGGAGGGUGCAAGCGUUAUCCGGAAUUACUGGGUUUAAAGGGUGCGUAGGCGGCUUGAUAAGUCAGAGGUGAAAGCCUAUCGCUUAACGAUAGAAUUGCCUUUGAUACUGUAAAGCUUGAAAGGGGUUGAGGUCAGCAGAAUGUGGCAUGUAGCGGUGAAAUGCAUAGAGAUGCCAGAGAACACCGAUUGCGAAGGCAGCUGGCUGGGCCUACUUCGACGAUGAGGCACGAAAGCGUGGGGAGCGAACAGG
This 253-nucleotide ribosomal RNA is filed under the name uncultured bacterium. RNAcentral's name for it is "partial 16S ribosomal RNA". It matches the Rfam family "Bacterial small subunit ribosomal RNA", at positions 524 to 776 of the family's 1533-position model. The record is from RNAcentral.